GGUUCCAUAGUGUAAUGGUUAGCACGUCUGCUUCACACGCAGAAGGUCCUGGGUUCACCCCCCAGGUGGAGGCA
RNAcentral lists this transfer RNA (74 nucleotides) under Pteropus alecto (black flying fox). It matches the Rfam family "tRNA". From Rfam's summary of the family: Transfer RNA (tRNA) molecules are approximately 80 nucleotides in length. Their secondary structure includes four short double-helical elements and three loops (D, anti-codon, and T loops). The record is from Rfam by way of RNAcentral. Lineage: Eukaryota; Metazoa; Chordata; Mammalia; Chiroptera; Pteropodidae.